CGACGGGUAACAGCGCAAGAAAUUUCAAAUUUGGGGAGAUUCAGAAAACAAGUGGCUUUGAAGGAAGAAAUCCAAAGCGGUAUCAAUUCAGUGGAUUGUCGAUUUUCAGUUUUUGUUGCAGCGAAAACCUUUUGGCAAACUGUGUGCGGCAGCGGAGCACACCUCUCCGGCCUCCCUCCGCUCCGACUUGGAGUCCAGCAGCCGCUUAUUUCGCAAGUAUUUUCCUCAUUUAUAUUCUUUUACACGUUGUAUACUUCUAUGUAAAUAUAAUUUAAUUUAUAUAUAAUUUUUAUUUUCCUCA
Jatropha curcas is the source of this 301-nucleotide long non-coding RNA. RefSeq lists it as uncharacterized. Lineage: Eukaryota; Viridiplantae; Streptophyta; Magnoliopsida; Malpighiales; Euphorbiaceae. The record is from RefSeq and is a predicted model, not a curated record.